ACGCUCGACACCUACAGGAGGCAGCAGUGGGGAAUAUUGCACAAUGGGGGAAACCCUGAUGCAGCGACGCCGCGUGAGCGAAGAAGUAUUUCGGUAUGUAAAGCUCUAUCAGCAGGGAAGAAACUGACGGUACCUGACUAAGAAGCACCGGCUAAAUACGUGUCAGCAGCCGCGGUAAUCUGAGCGGCUGGCAAGGC
This 197-nucleotide ribosomal RNA is filed under the name uncultured bacterium. Its description in RNAcentral is "partial 16S ribosomal RNA". It matches the Rfam family "Bacterial small subunit ribosomal RNA", at positions 328 to 539 of the family's 1533-position model. The record is from RNAcentral.